Stegodyphus dumicola is the source of this 888-nucleotide long non-coding RNA. RefSeq lists it as uncharacterized. NCBI's taxonomy places the organism in Eukaryota, Metazoa, Arthropoda, Arachnida, Araneae, Eresidae. The record is from RefSeq and is a predicted model, not a curated record.
CCUGAGACUGGUAAUGGUAAACGUAUUGAAAUAUUUAAAAAUUGAUAUUUUGUGAUUUAUUGGUAAAAGAUAUUACGUUUUUCUCAUUCAUAUACAAUUAUUAGUAUUUUCUGUUUUUGUAAAAAAUAUAACAGUUCAUUAGAAUUGCAUAAGUUGUUUAUAUAGAAUAAAAUGCAAACUCUUUGUCAAGUUUUUCAUAGCUCACCACUGCAUGUAAUCCACAAACAGGAUAGGUCUACAAAUUACAUUAGUAGCAAAUAUGUGUUCUAUAACCAAACAUAGGGAAGAUUUUGCAAUGUUGAUUACAACUAAAACCAUAUUAUUUACAGAUGCUGCAAUAUAAAUUUUGCAAUCGUAUGCAUGGAAGACAAUUCUUCCACUAUCUAGUGGUGAAGCAUUUGUUGGAUAGGUACGUUUGUGUACUGGACAUGGAAAAUUGUCAUGCUGUUACUGAAUAGAAAUUAUAUUUACUUGAACAUUUUAUAUGCCAUUUCACUGAUAAAGGUACAUGGGUCCUUUUUUUCUACAGAAACACUGUAAAAGAAGAUGACUCAAUGUUGUUCAGAUGACCAUGAGAUCAUUGACCAUACACUCCGUAAUCUUUUGCUUUUGGAAUGUGCUUUAGACUAUAUUUAUAUGCUCCUAUUGCUAAUAAUAUCAAAACUCCAAGACUGCAUUAUAGCUCCUUUGAUGACCAUCAGCAGGGAAAUUUUACUAUGUUUGUGAAUAGAAUUGUGAUACCCGGUCGAUAUGUGUCCUGUACCAACAGGAACACACAAUGACCUUUAUGGUAUUAUGUCAAAUUUGAUGAACUUUUAUUUCAUUUCAUGUAGUAAUCAUUUUUUAUCUGUAAUAUGUUACAGAAUAAAACAUUUUAAAACUUACAAA